Molecule: long non-coding RNA, 1515 nt
Filed under: Equus caballus (horse)
Lineage: Eukaryota; Metazoa; Chordata; Mammalia; Perissodactyla; Equidae
Description: lncRNA (ENSECAG00000036882.3)
Source: RNAcentral
UGCAGUCAUGGGAGAAUAAAUGUAGGACCCAGCCAUCCAUUCCUCCCUCAAUAUUUAUUGGGCACCCAUUAUGUGCCAGACACUGUGCUGGGUGCUGAAUCAAGACCCAAGGCUGGCCUUCAUGCUCACGGUCCAAGGAGGGGAGACCAGUUGUGAAAUGGGGUCAGUGUUAUGACCUGAGGAAGAACAGAUGCCUAAGGUACAGCAAGGGGGACCUCACCGCCAGGGCCCAGAAGCAUCUCCAACAAUGGCAAUGGCCAAAGCCUCUUCCAGUCUCUGCCAAAUUCCACCUGCAAGAAGCUCUCCAUGUCGUCUGAGUCCCCCAGGAGCUGCCCACCCAGCCACGACACUGAGGAGAAGGAGCAGGCAGAGGCAAACGAGGCUCGCGGUGGGUCGUGACUUGCGCACGGCCACACAGCUGCCGAGAACAAGACAGGGCGAACCAGGAAGUCAGACAGCAGGCUGUCUACGCAGAACCUCUUCAUCAGUAUGGCAUGCUGCCCUCUAACAUGCUGCCGACAACGUCUAGCUUCGUCUUAGCACACAGGAGGCCCAUGAAGCAACCUUCUCAUUAAUCUCUCCACUCUCUCGUCCAACAGGGAAAAGUGAGGCCCAUUUCAGGGAGUAGAGAGGUUUCAGAUGAUGACUGACAGAAUUUUAGAGUCAGCCUGGCCCGGGAGAAAUUGCAAAGUCUCUAGAGUCCGGCAGUCAUCCACACCUCAGCCCACCUACUUUCUGUGGGGGAGUCAGUUGUGAGGUCUUAAUAAGAGACCAAUGUAUGCAAAGCACCUGACACAUAGUAGGUAUUAAAUAAUAGCAAUAGCAAUAACCACAUUUAUACAGGGCUGUUGAUGUGCCAGGCAGCAUUCUGAGCCCAUCCUUAAUGUUAACUCCUAAUCCUCACAUUGACUCUAAGAGGCAAUAGCAAUAUUCUCCCAUUCGACAGAUGAGGAAACUGAGGCACAAAAAUGAUUAAGAAACUUGCAUAGUGUCACACAGUAGGGGGUGGGGUGGCUAGGAUUUGAACCCUAACCCAGAGACAGGGCCCUAAACCAGUGUAUUAUAUUGCGCCCUUUUGCAAGCUGUUCCCCAGCCCUCACCCCCCCGUAAAACAGAACUAUAGUCACGCGCCGCAGAAGGAUACUUCAGUCAAUGGCAGACCACACGGACAACGGUGGUCCUCUAAUAUCAGUACCAUGCAAGCUGGUGUGCAGUGGGCUACACCAUCUAGGUUUGUGACUGACCCUACAUCAGAGCUCCAAACAUCAAAACCAAGUGUAAAGAAAGCCUGGGGGACCCUCUCCAGGGCAGCACGAUGCGUUGGAAAGAGGCCUGGCCUGGACCUGUCCCAGCUCAGCCUGCCACUUGCCGUGUAACUGGGCAAGGCCCCGCUCUACCUGUAAAUAUGACAGCACUAAUAAUAACAGUAGCGAAGGCUUCUGCAGCUCUUGCUAUGUGCUAGGCACUGUUCCAAGGGCUUUCAUAUUUUAACUCAUUAAAUAAAAUAAAUAAAAG